This 249-nucleotide ribosomal RNA is filed under the name uncultured Actinomycetales bacterium. Its description in RNAcentral is "partial 16S ribosomal RNA". It matches the Rfam family "Bacterial small subunit ribosomal RNA", at positions 84 to 334 of the family's 1533-position model. Lineage: Bacteria; Bacillati; Actinomycetota; Actinomycetes; Actinomycetales. The record is from RNAcentral.
GGGGUGCUCGAGUGGCGAACGGGUGAGUAACACGUGAGUAACCUGCCCUUGACUUUGGGAUAACUUCAGGAAACUGGGGCUAAUACCGGAUAGGAGCUCCUGCUGCAUGGUGGGGGUUGGAAAGUUUCGGCGGUUGGGGAUGGACUCGCGGCUUAUCAGCUUGUUGGUGGGGUGGUGGCUUACCAAGGCUUUGACGGGUAGCCGGCCUGAGAGGGUGACCGGCCACAUUGGGACUGAGAUACGGCCCAG